RNAcentral lists this transfer RNA (73 nucleotides) under Eremias grammica (Reticulate racerunner). RNAcentral describes it as "tRNA-Thr". The record is from RNAcentral. Lineage: Eukaryota; Metazoa; Chordata; Lepidosauria; Squamata; Lacertidae.
UGUCCUAGGAGGAUUACUCUCAUCUUUGGUUUACAAAGCCAGGGCUUUAGGUUAAUGUUUAAGCUACUAGGAU